This is a non-coding RNA of Chiloscyllium plagiosum (whitespotted bambooshark), 233 nucleotides long. NCBI's taxonomy places the organism in Eukaryota, Metazoa, Chordata, Chondrichthyes, Orectolobiformes, Hemiscylliidae. The record is from RefSeq and is a predicted model, not a curated record.
CUUUCUCUUUCUAUUCUAGGGUUUAACUGGUCCAAUUGGUCCCCCUGGCCCAGCUGGUCCCAACGGAGAGAAGGGUGAAGCAGGUCCUCGUGGGCCAACAGGUGCUGCUGGAGCUCGCGGUGCCCCUGGUGAGCGUGGUGAGACAGGUCCUCCUGGCCCUGCUGGCUUUGCUGGUCCUCCUGUAAGUAUUGACUUCAGAAAGUAACAGUCACAGUAAAUUCAAGAUGCACAUA